GAUGAACGCUGGCGGCGUGCCUAAUACAUGCAAGUCGAGCGAACGGACGAGAAGCUUGCUUCUCUGAUGUUAGCGGCGGACGGGUGAGUAACACGUGGAUAACCUACCUAUAAGACUGGGAUAACUUCGGGAAACCGGAGCUAAUACCGGAUAAUAUUUUGAACCGCAUGGUUCAAAAGUGAAAGACGGUCUUGCUGUCACUUAUAGAUGGAUCCGCGCUGCAUUAGCUAGUUGGUAAGGUAACGGCUUACCAAGGCAACGAUGCAUAGCCGACCUGAGAGGGUGAUUGGCCACACUGGAACUGAGACACGGUCCAGACUCCUACGGGAGGCAGCAGUAGGGAAUCUUCCGCAAUGGGCGAAAGCCUGACGGAGCAACGCCGCGUGAGUGAUGAAGGUCUUCGGAUCGUAAAACUCUGUUAUUAGGGAAGAACAUAUGUGUAAGUAACUGUGCACAUCUUGACGGUACCUAAUCAGAAAGCCACGGCUAACUACGU
RNAcentral lists this ribosomal RNA (496 nucleotides) under uncultured bacterium. Its description in RNAcentral is "partial 16S ribosomal RNA". It matches the Rfam family "Bacterial small subunit ribosomal RNA", at positions 28 to 506 of the family's 1533-position model. The record is from RNAcentral.